This is a non-coding RNA of Pelobates cultripes (western spadefoot toad), 282 nucleotides long. NCBI's taxonomy places the organism in Eukaryota, Metazoa, Chordata, Amphibia, Anura, Pelobatidae. The record is from the annotation of a GenBank genome assembly.
AUGGCAUACGUUUUUUUUCCAGGGCUGCUUUGGAUUCCCAGGGAUUCCCAGUUUGGCUCUGCCAGCGAGUGCACUUUAUCGCUGAAUAAUCUGUGUGAGCUGCCGCACACUUUAGCCCUGUUACACGCGUCUGGGAGCUGCUGUUGACAGGUACUAGUAGUCUAGAGAUUGGGGUAUAUGCUCAGUUAUCUGUAUAAUACAGAUCUGUGUGUAUAAAAUAUCCCGGGAUAGUCAGUGCUUCCUGUAUAGUGCUGCUCUCUGUCUUGGGAUAUUAUACACAAA